GCCGCUGUGGCGGAAUUGGCAGACGCAAGGGACUUAAAAUCCCUCGAUGGAAACAUCGUACCGGUUCAACCCCGGUCAGCGGCACCA
This 87-nucleotide transfer RNA is filed under the name Ruminococcaceae bacterium CPB6. RNAcentral's name for it is "tRNA-Leu". It matches the Rfam family "tRNA". From Rfam's summary of the family: Transfer RNA (tRNA) molecules are approximately 80 nucleotides in length. Their secondary structure includes four short double-helical elements and three loops (D, anti-codon, and T loops). Further hydrogen bonds mediate the characteristic L-shaped molecular structure. tRNAs have two regions of fundamental functional importance: the anti-codon, which is responsible for specific mRNA codon recognition, and the 3' end, to which the tRNAs corresponding amino acid is attached (by aminoacyl-tRNA synthetases). tRNAs cope with the degeneracy of the genetic code in two manners: having more than one tRNA (with a specific anti-codon) for a particular amino acid; and 'wobble' base-pairing, i.e. permitting non-standard base-pairing at the 3rd anti-codon position. Lineage: Bacteria; Bacillati; Bacillota; Clostridia; Eubacteriales; Oscillospiraceae. RNAcentral also lists the same sequence under 4 other names. The record is from RNAcentral.